CCUCAGCUCCUAAGUCCUUUUAAUUUGACGGGCCACGCCCUGUGCGACAUCACCCCAACUCUAUUUACCUGCGGAGUCAGAGUGCCACUCCCUCCUCCAUUCCCCACCUGUGGCUGUUGCAUGCUCUGUUGGCGUCUCGUUUAAAAAAAAAGCUACUGGAUCUUCCUAAAGAUCUAAUAUUAUAAGCUGUCUUUUGGACUCGCUUCUCUCUCACAACUUGGGCCAAACCGCUCAUGUUGUCUUUCAUUAAUACCACUACACAGACGGAGAUCAACUUGUCAUCCCUUCAACGGUCAGGUUUUUUUUUUAUGCCAGAAAAAGGACAUCACCCUCACUACAAUCUGGUUCACAACAACUUUUU
Molecule: long non-coding RNA, 361 nt
Organism: Cyprinodon tularosa
Lineage: Eukaryota; Metazoa; Chordata; Actinopteri; Cyprinodontiformes; Cyprinodontidae
Exons: 3
Source: RefSeq, a predicted model, not a curated record